UACGGGGGGGGGCAAGCGUUGUUCGGAAUUACUGGGCGUAAAGGGCUCGUAGGCGGCCAACUAAGUCGGAUGUGAAAUCCCCAGGCUUAACCUGGGAACUGCAUCCGAUACUGGAUGGCUUGAAUCCGGGAGAGGGAUGCGGAAUUCCAGGUGUAGCGGUGAAAUGCGUAGAUAUCUGGAGGAACACCGGUGGCGAAGGCGGCAUCCUGGACCGGCAUUGACGCUGAGGAGCGAAAGCCAGGGGGAGCAAAACGGG
Molecule: ribosomal RNA, 256 nt
Filed under: uncultured bacterium
Lineage: Bacteria
Description: partial 16S ribosomal RNA
Rfam family: Bacterial small subunit ribosomal RNA
Source: RNAcentral